RNAcentral lists this ribosomal RNA (758 nucleotides) under Arthrobacter sp. A60T9. RNAcentral's name for it is "bacterial SSU rRNA". It matches the Rfam family "Bacterial small subunit ribosomal RNA", at positions 56 to 823 of the family's 1533-position model. The record is from RNAcentral. Lineage: Bacteria; Bacillati; Actinomycetota; Actinomycetes; Micrococcales; Micrococcaceae.
UGCAGUCGAACGAUGACUUCUGUGCUUGCACAGAAUGAUUAGUGGCGAACGGGUGAGUAACACGUGAGUAACCUGCCCUUGACUUCGGGAUAAGCCUGGGAAACCGGGUCUAAUACCGGAUACGACCUCCUGGCGCAUGCCAUGGGGGUGGAAAGCUUUAUGCGGUUUUGGAUGGACUCGCGGCCUAUCAGCUUGUUGGUUGGGGUAAUGGCCCACCAAGGCGACGACGGGUAGCCGGCCUGAGAGGGUGACCGGCCACACUGGGACUGAGACACGGCCCAGACUCCUACGGGAGGCAGCAGUGGGGAAUAUUGCACAAUGGGCGGAAGCCUGAUGCAGCGACGCCGCGUGAGGGAUGACGGCCUUCGGGUUGUAAACCUCUUUCAGCAGGGAAGAAGCGAAAGUGACGGUACCUGCAGAAGAAGCGCCGGCUAACUACGUGCCAGCAGCCGCGGUAAUACGUAGGGCGCAAGCGUUAUCCGGAAUUAUUGGGCGUAAAGAGCUCGUAGGCGGUUUGUCGCGUCUGCUGUGAAAGCCCGGGGCUCAACCCCGGGUCUGCAGUGGGUACGGGCAGACUAGAGUGAUGUAGGGGAGACUGGAAUUCCUGGUGUAGCGGUGAAAUGCGCAGAUAUCAGGAGGAACACCGAUGGCGAAGGCAGGUCUCUGGGCAUUAACUGACGCUGAGGAGCGAAAGCAUGGGGAGCGAACAGGAUUAGAUACCCUGGUAGUCCAUGCCGUAAACGUUGGGCACUAGGUGU